GAAUGCUGACAUAAGUAACGAUAAAGCGGGUGAAAAGCCCGCUCGCCGGAAGACCAAGGGUUCCUGUCCAACGUUAAUCGGGGCAGGGUGAGUCGACCCCUAAGGCGAGGCCGAAAGGCGUAGUCGAUGGGAAACGGGUUAAUAUUCCCGUACUUGGUGUUACUGCGAAGGGGGGACGGAGAAGGCUAUGUUGGCCGGGCGACGGUUGUCCCGGUUUAAGCGUGUAGGUGUGUGUUCCAGGUAAAUCCGGUUCACUUUAACACUGAGGCGUGAUGACGAGGCACUACGGUGCUGAAGCAACAAAUGCCCUGCUUCCAGGAAAAGCCUCUAAGCAUCAGGUAACAUCAAAUCGUACCCCAA
RNAcentral lists this ribosomal RNA (360 nucleotides) under Salmonella enterica subsp. enterica serovar Heidelberg. Its description in RNAcentral is "partial 23S ribosomal RNA". It matches the Rfam family "Bacterial large subunit ribosomal RNA", at positions 1292 to 1652 of the family's 2925-position model. Lineage: Bacteria; Pseudomonadati; Pseudomonadota; Gammaproteobacteria; Enterobacterales; Enterobacteriaceae. The record is from RNAcentral.